Molecule: ribosomal RNA, 684 nt
Filed under: Triticum aestivum (bread wheat)
Lineage: Eukaryota; Viridiplantae; Streptophyta; Magnoliopsida; Poales; Poaceae
Description: partial small subunit ribosomal RNA
Source: RNAcentral
AUGGAAGGGGACGACGAGACCUCGGCGGUGGAGGCAGUGCUGGGGCUGAGCCCUCAGAUCUUCAUCAACGAGGUCCUCAACAUGGUUGACGACAUCCGCUUCCAGGCCUUCGAGUACUGCCUCCAGGAAGGUGCCCCUGCGGCCGUCAGCACCGCCACGGCGACCAAUCAGGCUGAGGAGCUAAAACGGGGAGUAAAUGCAAUUUGCAACUUGGUAACGGAUGUAUUGAACAAAAGAAUGAGCAAUUGGGAGAUGUAUUGCCUUCGGAAAUGUUUAACUGUACCUGAAGGAUUUGUGGCACCUGAAGAUGAUAAUUCUUCUGCAACGGUGUUGCAUAAAGAUGGGAAUUCUGAUUCGGAACUGGAUGCAGAACUUAAUUUUUUGAGAAAAAAACUGGCAGACGCUAACACGGAAUCUGAAGAACUUAGAAGAGAAAGUACUUCCUUGGAAAGGCAAGCUACAUACAAAAGUAACCUUAAUUCCUCUAUAACUGAAGUACUGAAGUUGUAUGAAGACAAAUCUGUUAAGGAGAAUAUUCAAGGUAUUGUGAAGGCAAUACCGAAGUUGCACCAGAAAAUGAAGGUUAUGAGAAGGAAAAAGGUUGAGGUUGAGGCCAUGGUGGGUCAAAAUGUUUGGAACGUCGAUUGUCUUAGAGACCAGAAGCGUUUAGCACUGGGUAGGUAA